RNAcentral lists this long non-coding RNA (2032 nucleotides) under Marmota monax (woodchuck). The record is from RNAcentral. Lineage: Eukaryota; Metazoa; Chordata; Mammalia; Rodentia; Sciuridae.
GGCCACAAAGAGAGCCAAUUCUGGAAAUGUUCCAGUGUACAUUCCCCACUCCCUCCACACAGUGAUACUGCAUACAGGUUGAGCACCCCUAAUAUCUGAAAAUCCGAAAUCUUGUAUUCUCCAAAAUGUGAAGCUUUUUGCAUGUGGACACAACACCACAAAUGAAAACUUUCACAUCCAGCCUUAUGUGAUGGUGGGUCACAGUGAAAAUGCAGGUAUGCUAAAAAUAUAUAAAACUACCUUUAGGCUGUUUGUAGGUAUAUGUAAAACAUGCAUGGAUUUUAUGUUUAGAUUUGGUCUCAAGAUCCCAAAUAAACAACCUAAUGGGAUGCAUCCGAAGGCCUUGAGAAAGAACAAACCAAUUCCAAAAUCAGUAGAAGGAAGGGAAUAAUGAAGAUCAGAAUCAAAAUCAGUGAAGUUGAGAAUAAAAAAAACAACACAAAGGAUCAAUGAAAUGAAGAGAUGGUUCUUGAAAAGAUAAACAGCAAUGAUAAGCCCGUAGCCAAACUAUCCAAAAGCAGAGAAGACCCAAAUUAACAAAAUUAGAGAUGAAAACAGAGAACUUGCCACAGACCACAGAAAUCCUGAGGAUCGUUAGGGACUGUUUGGGAAGCUUAUACUCAAUACGUCAGAAACCACUGAAGAAACAGAUGCCUUUCUAUACACCUUCCACCUGCCAAAAUCGAAUCACAAGGACAUAGAAAAGCUCCAACAGACCCGUAACUAGCAGUGAGUUAGAAGCAGAAAUCAAAAGCCUUCCAACAGAGAAAAGCUCAGGACCCCAUGGAUUCUCCGCUGACUUCUACCAGAGCUUUGAAAAACUAAAACUAAAACCGUGCUCCACCGAGUAUUCCAUUAAGCAGACUUUGGUCCUCCUCCCAAGGUGCCUCAUUGUGUGUGUGUGCAAAUAUCCCCGAAUCAAAACACAACAAAACUGCCCUUACUGUGACUCCAUUGCAGUGUGAGCAGGCUGCACCUUGUGUCCUCAUUCCAGUUUGAAAUCCCUGAAGAUGGUGGACGAAGGCCAUGUGCACACGAGGGGCCAAGGCCCACAGGGCAGGUCUCAUGCCAUGACCCCGUACUCAGAAUCAGGAUGUGGCUGAAUCCCUCUUGGAACAUUCUGGAAGCUUGGGCCCAACUGUGUGGAAGAGUCCAGCAGUUGCUGAGGCUCUUACAUUCUCCCUCUCCUGCUCUGCUUUUCACUGUGCCCAAGCAGGGAAGACACCCCAGGUUGACUUUUUCAGGUAAACUUGUGAGAGGCUUCUCAUCUGCUCAGUGCCACAAACCCAUCCCCAUCUGAGUAACCUGAGCAUGUCCUUUAUUUCGAGAAACACAAAGAGAAAUCUGCAGCCGUAGCACUGAGCAGGUUGAGGUGGGGGUGAGGAACGAGUGCCAGGGCGAGGCAGGCCCAGAAGGUUCCUCCUGGGAGCCAGCAGGUAGGGACCCAGACCGCUCUGGUGCAGUUUGAUCAUGGACCGAAGCCCUUCUUUGAAAAGUUGCUUCUCAAAGUUUGCUCUGGGUCUAGGGUCUUGUUCCUCCCUUCCCAGCGAGGGUGCCUCCUGUCACCUCAUGCACAGUGACUCUCGCUGCCUCACUCCAAAGCUUUACCCCAGCCAGGAAGUCACAUCCCAGGAGAGGUAUUUAUUUAUUUAUGUUUGUGUUUUAAUUCCCUUUAAGGGAGCAUUUUAGAAAAAUCACAAAGAAUGAUACAAAGCGUUCCCAAAACCACUCACAAUUUCCCCUAUUUUUAGCGACCUACAUCAUAUGCUAAAUCCGUCACAAUUAACGAGCCCACCCUGAUUCAUCGCUGUUAGCUCAGGUCCACACUUUGUUCACACUUCCUUCAUUUUUCCCUCAUGUCCUUUUUCCUGUGCAGGAUCCUCCGUGACGUUUAACCCUCUCGUCUCCUUGGGGCCCUCUGGGCUGAGACCUGCCUUGAUUGUGUGACGACCUUGACAGUUUUGAGGAGUAGUAGCAGGCAGGUGUUCUGUCCCUGUCCCUCCACUGGGACUUGCCUGAUGAAAACCUCAUG